Molecule: long non-coding RNA, 376 nt
Organism: Carlito syrichta (Philippine tarsier)
Lineage: Eukaryota; Metazoa; Chordata; Mammalia; Primates; Tarsiidae
Exons: 3
Source: RefSeq, a predicted model, not a curated record
UAUAGGGUGUUUUGUGAUGAAAAAUAUAUUUAAUAUGGAACUGCUGAAGCAUAUAACUAGUCAUCACAACAGCAGUUCUUUGUAAUCACUGGAAAAGGAUACUGUUUCUUUGAGAAGGAUGUGAAAAGAUCAGCCCAGCUCAGGGUGCAGUUUGCACUACUAGCUCCUUGGACAGCUGUAAGAAGAGUCUCUGGCUCUUUAGAAUACUGAUCCCAUUGAGGAUGCCAUAUUGCAUGUAUCCUUAGUAGUCAUAUCUUCCUAGGCUCCUCUUGGACAUUCUAAGCAUGUGAGACCUGAGGACUACAAGCAGCUUCAAGAAGCUCCAAAUUCAGCAGAUCUUUCCUUUUGAGAAUCUGGACAAGCUCCAGUUAAUGUA